GUAGUCAUAUGCUUGUCUCAAAGCUUAAGCCAUGCAAGUCUCAGUACGAGCUGACUUAAAGUGAAACCGCAAAAGGCUCAGUAAACCGGUCAUAGUUUACCGGAUAUAUGCCACUCACGUGGAUAACUGUGGUAAUUCUAGAGCUAAUACAUGCAAACAAGUCCCGACCAGCGAUGGAGAGGACGCUUUUAUUGGAUCAAAACCAUUCGCCCGAGCUAAUCGGGCGUCGGCUUGAUGACUCUAGAUAACACCACAGAUCGCACGGUCAUAGUACCGGUGACGUAUCCUUCAAAUGUCUGACUUAUCAGCUGUCGAUGGUAGACUCUGUGUCUACCAUGGCGCUCACGGGUGACGGGGAAUCAGGGUUCGAUUCCGGAGAGGGAGCCUGAGAAACGGCUACCACAUCCAAGGAAGGCAGCAGGCACGCAAAUUACCCACUCCAGGCACGGGGAGGUAGUGACAAAAAAUAACGAUACGGGACUCAUCCGAGGCCCCGUAAUCGGAAUGAGAACACCCUAAAUCCUUUAACAAGGAUCUAUUGGAGGGCAAG
This 550-nucleotide ribosomal RNA is filed under the name Alydus calcaratus. RNAcentral's name for it is "SSU rRNA". It matches the Rfam family "Eukaryotic small subunit ribosomal RNA", at positions 20 to 559 of the family's 1831-position model. Lineage: Eukaryota; Metazoa; Arthropoda; Insecta; Hemiptera; Alydidae. The record is from RNAcentral.